CGUGCAGGCGGUUUGAUAAGUUGGAUGUGAAAUCUCCCGGCUUAACUGGGAGCGGUCGUUCAAAACUAUCAGACUAGAGAAUGGGAGAGGAAGGUGGAAUUCCGGGUGUAGUGGUGAAAUGCGUAGAUAUCCGGAGGAACACCAGUGGCGAAAGCGGCCUUCUAGACCAUUUCUGACGCUAAGACGCGAAAGCUAGGGUAGCAAACG
RNAcentral lists this ribosomal RNA (207 nucleotides) under uncultured Anaerolineaceae bacterium. RNAcentral's name for it is "partial 16S ribosomal RNA". It matches the Rfam family "Bacterial small subunit ribosomal RNA", at positions 568 to 774 of the family's 1533-position model. Lineage: Bacteria; Bacillati; Chloroflexota; Anaerolineae; Anaerolineales; Anaerolineaceae. The record is from RNAcentral.